This 85-nucleotide transfer RNA is filed under the name Micromonospora pisi. Its description in RNAcentral is "Micromonospora sp. GUI15 tRNA". It matches the Rfam family "tRNA". Rfam says of the family: Transfer RNA (tRNA) molecules are approximately 80 nucleotides in length. Their secondary structure includes four short double-helical elements and three loops (D, anti-codon, and T loops). Lineage: Bacteria; Bacillati; Actinomycetota; Actinomycetes; Micromonosporales; Micromonosporaceae. The record is from Rfam by way of RNAcentral.
GGAAGCGUGGCAGAGUCCGGCCUAUUGCACCGCGUUGCUAGCGCGGAGUGGGAAACCACCGGGGGUUCAAAUCCCUCCGCUUCCG